CCCGCACAAGCGGUGGAGCAUGUGGUUUAAUUCGACGCAACGCGAAGAACCUUACCAGCUCUUGACAUGUCAGGUCGGUUUCCAGAGAUGGAUUCCUCCCAGCAAUGGGCCUGAACACAGGUGCUGCAUGGCUGUCGUCAGCUCGUGUCGUGAGAUGUCGGGUUAAGUCCCAUAACGAGCGAAACCCUUACCCUUAGUUGCUACGCGUCAUGGCGAGGACUCUAGGGGGACUGCCGGUGUCAAACCGGAGGAAGGCGGGGAUGACGUCAAGUCCUCAUGGCCUUUACGUCUAGGGCUGCACACGUGCUACAAUGGCGUGAACAAAGGGAAGCAAAAGCGCGAGCUCAAGCAAAUCCCAAAAAACACGCCCCAGUUCAGAUCGAGGGCUGCAACUCGCCCUCGUGAAGUUGGAAUCGCUAGUAAUCGCAGGUCAGCAACACUGCGGUGAAUGUGUUCCUGAGCCUU
RNAcentral lists this ribosomal RNA (465 nucleotides) under uncultured Zavarzinella sp. Its description in RNAcentral is "bacterial SSU rRNA". It matches the Rfam family "Bacterial small subunit ribosomal RNA", at positions 920 to 1382 of the family's 1533-position model. The record is from RNAcentral. Lineage: Bacteria; Pseudomonadati; Planctomycetota; Planctomycetia; Gemmatales; Gemmataceae.